RNAcentral lists this ribosomal RNA (251 nucleotides) under uncultured prokaryote. Its description in RNAcentral is "partial 16S rRNA". It matches the Rfam family "Bacterial small subunit ribosomal RNA", at positions 525 to 775 of the family's 1533-position model. The record is from RNAcentral.
ACGUAGGGGGCGAGCGUUGUCCGGAAAUACUGGGCGUAAAGGGUGCGUAGGUGGCCUUUUAAGUUGGAUGUGAAAUACCCGAGCUUAACUUGGGGGGUGCAUCUAAUACUGGGAGGCUAGAGUGCAGGAGAGGGAAGCGGAAUUCCUAGUGUAUCGGUGAAAUGCGUAGAGAUUAGGAGGAACCCCUGUGGCGAAGGCGGCCUUCAGGACUGGAACGGACGCUGAGGCACGAAAGCGUGGGGAGGAAAGUG